AUAUAUGUUUUGGCAUAAGGAUUAUUUGAGGCUGGUUAUUUUUAAGAAACAGCAGACAUUUGAGAAGCUCUGGAAACCAAGUAGAAGUUACCCUUUGUAAAAAAUAUUUACAUUUGUAAAGGAAAUCACUUUUGUAAGGCUGACUCUCUCACUGUACCAGGAAGACGGGGCUUACCUUAUCUCUAGAAAGUCUUAUCAAUGGAGGAGGUGAUGACUUAAAUAAUAACUUCAUCCUUGUUUACUGUGCUUUUCCUGGGAACCUCACGUAAUUGACUCCCUCCACCUGCAACAACUUCUUUGGUCUGUAGCUGAAGAUGGUAUUUAAGGUGGUGGCAUCGGCUAUUUUGAAGCGCUUUAAGUUCUUAGUCUCUGGUGGAUUGUGGAUCGCCUAUCAGUAGCAGAACUUCCUGGGGUGGUUGGAAAUAUGCAGAUUUCUGUUCUGUCAGCCCCAAGCUGUGAAUUAAAUUGUGGGAUCUGGCUGAGAAAUCUUCAUUUCUAAAGCAUCCAUUUUGUGUGGUUACGUAGCCUCCAGGGGCCUUGAACUGCGUAGCCCCUCCCUAGAGCGCAUGCCUUAAAGAACAGCCUGCAGAGUCACAGGUGAGUCUAAUUUCCUGAUAAGCCCCUGGUAAUAAAUAGUCUCCCCUGAUUCCCAGCUCCUUCUCCUGGCUUGUGCCUUAGAUCCUGCUGCUCAUACUCUGCCUGCACCCUGCCUUGACCUCCCUGUGUGGCUCCUCGAGAUACCUCCUCCAGGACCUUGUGAUUUUGGUCCUCUUGGUUUCUCUGAUGCUGCUGGGGCUCCCAUUUGCCUGAAGGGGCAUUCCUGUGAGUCAGCAUCCUCUCUAAUCAACAUGUUGCAGAAAAGUGUUUACACACAACAUCCAGAGAAGAGGUGGGAUGCCUACCACAGCAUGGCAUGCCUAGCGGUGCCAUGUCCGCAGCCGGGAUCUGAACUGGCGAACCCUGGGUCUCUGAGAAGUGGAACAUGCGAACUUAACCACUGCACCACCGGGACUAUAAUUGUCUGGAGCAGAAGAGAAAAGAUUGAUGUCUGGAUGAGAACAAGAGAACUGAGAAGAUUAAAUUAUUUCAGUAUGAAUCAAAUCACUCAUCUCUUUUCUGCUUAUUGGCUAGAUCACAAAGACGGUUUUACCGACUCUGACUUUUUAUGUCACUGGCCAUGUGGAAUCCUUACAUGCUGCUAGGUCCCCUGUUCUCAUAUUUCAUAGAAGUUCAAAGUAAGAUGAUAUAUCGCAAUUUGCAUUUAUCCUAGAGUUUGUAUAGGUGUUGCAUUUUAGUCUACUAUUCGGGAACAUAUGUAACACAUGGUACAAGGUUAAAAUGAGGAAAAUAAAAUGAAAAAAUG
This 1363-nucleotide long non-coding RNA is filed under the name Equus caballus (horse). RNAcentral's name for it is "lncRNA (ENSECAG00000036732.3)". The record is from RNAcentral. Lineage: Eukaryota; Metazoa; Chordata; Mammalia; Perissodactyla; Equidae.